GACGAACGCUGGCGGCGUGCUUAACACAUGCAAGUCGAACGGAAAGGCCCUGCUUGCAGGGUACUCGAGUGGCGAACGGGUGAGUAACACGUGGGUGAUCUGCCCUGCACUUCGGGAUAAGCCUGGGAAACUGGGUCUAAUACCGGAUAGGAGCCAUUUUUAGUGUGAUGGUUGGAAAGUUUUUUCGGUGUAGGAUGAGCUCGCGGCCUAUCAGCUUGUUGGUGGGGUAAUGGCCUACCAAGGCGGCGACGGGGAGCCGGCCUGAGAGGGGGAGCGGGCCAGGGUGGGAGUGGAGGAGCGGCCCCACACAGAGGGAGAGGCGGCACAGGGUAAUAUGGGCGAAGGAGGGGGAGCAUGGUGGAGCCACGUCGCGAGCGUGAUGACGGCCUGCGGGGUGUAGACUCAUGUCGCUGGGGUGGGACUUUUUGUUUGCAGUACCUAAAAAAGCACCGCCUACCAACUAGGUCCCAGGACCCGAGAUAAUAAUCGGACCACCGCACACUCAAUC
RNAcentral lists this ribosomal RNA (508 nucleotides) under uncultured bacterium. Its description in RNAcentral is "partial 16S ribosomal RNA". It matches the Rfam family "Bacterial small subunit ribosomal RNA", at positions 34 to 540 of the family's 1533-position model. The record is from RNAcentral.